Danio rerio (zebrafish) is the source of this 2384-nucleotide non-coding RNA. Lineage: Eukaryota; Metazoa; Chordata; Actinopteri; Cypriniformes; Danionidae. The record is from RefSeq and is a predicted model, not a curated record.
UCCUCCUCCUCCUCCUCUUGCUGCUGCUGCUGUGUCCUCCAUCACUCCAUUUCCUUCAUUCUGCUCUCCUUGAGGACGGAUUCAGGCCUUCCUGCAGAGCAAAUCCCUCGCUUUCUCAUCCUCCGUCUCUGAAAAGAGGAAAGGGUGAGCAAAGUCUGCAAGACUUCAUAAAGAAGAAGUACCGGACCUGCUAGACUCCUCGGCUUCAAUCCCACAUGGAAGCAAAAGCCAAAGGAGCGCCAAAGUCUGCCUCCAAAGCAGAGAAGAAGGAGGCAGCACCACCACCGGCAAAACCAGACCCAGUCCCAGCCGAACCCACCGAACCUGAAAAACCAGCAGAAGAUGGAUCGACCAACCAACAGGGGGCAGCAGAGUCCGCAGGAUCCUGCUGUGAAACCUUAGAAAGUUUGAAACCUUUCCUGAUUGGAGGAGCCGUCAUCGCCCUUGGCGCCGUAUUGGUUGGCGUAAUCUUACUAGCCAAGAAAAACUGACCCGAGACCUGUGAUUGUUUGCAAAAUAUUGGUUGAUUAGUUCACAGACUAUUAAAGUUUAUAUCUGUAUACAUAUAUAGCUAUAUAUAUAAAAAGGGUUGGGGAGUCACUAGGCGAUAUUAUUUUAUGCUGUACUUUAAUUUCAAUGCUUGUGGUGAUGUUUCCAACAGCUAUUAAAGCAAGCUAGAGAUUUAGGCCAAACACUUUUUCAUAUCACACAGCUGUAGCUCGUGCAUAUUUACAUUUUCAUCAUAGUCACUCUGCCUGUUGGUUCACUGCUCAAAAAAAUAAAAUAAAUAAAAAUCAUCUAUGACACAUGAAUACAGUUCCAGAGCAAUGUUCAGUCCCACAACUGCCAAAACAAUAUUAGGAUGCACGAUUCAAGGUUAACACUACAAGAGUUUUCUGAAGCAAGUCGUUUAAUGGGAUUUAUGCGAUACUAGUGGUGUGCGAUAUUGUCUAAAAUGAUUCUUGUUCAUUUUUUGAGGAUGUUUUUCUGAUAAUUAUUAAAGAGUCUUUUGCAGAGUGUGUUUUUGUGCUAGUCUAGUUAGAAAACUAGGAUAAAGCAAAAAAAGAGUCAGUCGUUGAAUUAUUCACUCAACCGUUUCGAUGGAAACUAAUGAUUCAUGUAUUUUUAAUGAAUCACUGAAUCAGUGCCUCCAUUGAUUUGUUUAAAAAGAGAGAAACUAAGAAACUGAACACCACAGAUAUUUGCCUCAGGAUUUUUUGUUUUUGUUUACUUUGAUACUUAACUAUAUCUAAAUAUCAAAUCAACAACAACAAAAAAAAACACUCGUACAACAUUAUUUAUCCCUUUCAUGACGAAUUCUAAAGCAAUUCUGAUUCGAGUCCAAUAGGAUUCAUCACACAGUGAAUGUUUUGGACUUACAAGACAUGCUUUGUUCGUUUUUUGUAAAGAGAAUAACACUCAACAAUAGAAACUAACCAUGGUUAUACUAACCAUGGUUAUAAAAACCAAGGUAACCACAAUUUCAUCAUAGUUUUGCUACAAUAACUGUAGUAUUUGGUAGUCAAUCAAUGCGACAAAAACACUUACUACAUUUUUACUAUAACAAAAUUAGUUAUUUUUUAGUAAAUUACAUGUAUUAUCAGUUAUAUAUUUAGUAAAUAAAUAUCGCACACCCCUACUUUAUAAAUAAAAACAGUUGGUUUCAUAAUCAAAAACUAGUCCAACUGGAAUUAGCCUUGUAUUGCUGAAAGAAUGUGUAAAGUAGAAAUGUAAAGAAAUAUUACGAUGUAUAUUUUAUGUAUGAGCUGCUCGUAUCGCUUCAUUUCCAAACCAAAAACAAGUCAUAAAAACAUUCGUACCGUAGUAGCCGAUCAUCUCAAAGUCUUAGUUUCUUGUCGGAACGAUGCGAUUUCCGAAAGUGGGCCAAUGGAAGUAGACAUGUGACGCAACAUAGCUAGAUAUUAUUAUGGCGGCUAAAACGGCUUCAAUUUCACAGACACACUACGACGACCGCUCGUCACGACAGAAAUAUUCCCUAAAUGCAUGCAGACACGGACAAUAUGCACUCACACGUCACAUGAUGAACAUACUGUUACAGAAAAUGACCUUUUCUUUAAAGUGCGUAUAUAAUGCAAUAAUUCAAAUAGAACUCUGUAUUUAACGGAAAGAAGACCAUUUAUUAGUUGUGAUAUUGACGAUGAGGAUGUUGACUCAGCAACAUGGUGGUUGUCUUGAUGGUGAUGAUGAUGAUGAAGGAUGAUUAUGAUUUUAUUUGUUGGAUUUAAUGUAGUUUACCUUUCCCUCUACUGUGCCAUAUGUGAUUAUUUUGCACACAACCUCGCCUGCUGCCUUUCCGCUGUGUGAAAUAAAAUAAGAUGGCUCCCUUGUGACUUGAUGACCUUAUUAAAGGACAAUGAACCACA